RNAcentral lists this ribosomal RNA (504 nucleotides) under uncultured bacterium. RNAcentral describes it as "partial 16S ribosomal RNA". It matches the Rfam family "Bacterial small subunit ribosomal RNA", at positions 28 to 523 of the family's 1533-position model. The record is from RNAcentral.
GAUGAACGCUAGCGGCAGGCUUAAUACAUGCAAGUCGAGGGGUAGCAAGAUUGUAGCAAUACAAUUGUUGACGACCGGCAAACGGGUGCGGAACACGUACACAACCUUCCUACAAGUGGGGAAUAGCCCAGAGAAAUUUGGAUUAAUACCCCGUAACAUAGCGAUGUGGCAUCACAUUGCUAUUAUAGCUUCGGCGCUUGUUGAUGGGUGUGCGGCUGAUUAGAUAGUUGGCGGGGUAACGGCCCACCAAGUCUACGAUCAGUAGCUGAUGUGAGAGCAUGAUCAGCCACACGGGCACUGAGACACGGGCCCGACUCCUACGGGAGGCAGCAGUAAGGAAUAUUGGACAAUGGACGCAAGUCUGAUCCAGCCAUGCCGCGUGAAGGAUUAAGGUCCUCUGGAUUGUAAACUUCUUUUAUAAGGGACGAACAAAGGCUUUUCUAAGUCGUCUGACGGUACCUUAUGAAUAAGCACCGGCUAACUCCGUGCCAGCAGCCGCAGUAA